AAUCAACGCUGGCGGCGUGCCUCAGACAUGCAAGUCGAACGAGAACCUCCCUUCGGGGAGGGGACAGUGGCGCACGGGUGAGUAACACGUGGGUAAUUUACCUUUGGGUGGGGAACAACAGCCGGAAACGGCUGCUAAUACCGCAUAAUGCAGCGGCUCGACAUCGAGACAGUUGUUAAAGCGGGGGAGUCGCAAGACCUCGCGCCUGAAGAGAAGCCUGCGGCGGAUUAGUCAGUUGGGUAGGGUAAGUGGCCUACCAAGGCGACGAUCUGUAACCGGCCUGAGAGGGCGGGUCGGUCACACUGACACUGACAUACGGGU
This 321-nucleotide ribosomal RNA is filed under the name uncultured bacterium. Its description in RNAcentral is "bacterial SSU rRNA". It matches the Rfam family "Bacterial small subunit ribosomal RNA", at positions 32 to 331 of the family's 1533-position model. The record is from RNAcentral.